This 212-nucleotide ribosomal RNA is filed under the name Clostridium sp. MCC328. Its description in RNAcentral is "partial 16S ribosomal RNA". It matches the Rfam family "Bacterial small subunit ribosomal RNA", at positions 172 to 384 of the family's 1533-position model. Lineage: Bacteria; Bacillati; Bacillota; Clostridia; Eubacteriales; Clostridiaceae. The record is from RNAcentral.
CAUAAGCGCACAGUACCGCAUGGUACGGUGUGAAAAACUCCGGUGGUAUGAGAUGGACCCGCGUCUGAUUAGCUAGUUGGUGGGGUAACGGCCCACCAAGGCGACGAUCAGUAGCCGACCUGAGAGGGUGACCGGCCACAUUGGGACUGAGACACGGCCCAGACUCCUACGGGAGGCAGCAGUGGGGGAUAUUGCACAAUGGAGGAAACUCU